This is an RNA transcript of Oryza brachyantha (malo sina), 2137 nucleotides long. It is a transcript of the gene named junctophilin-1-like, with no coding region annotated. NCBI's taxonomy places the organism in Eukaryota, Viridiplantae, Streptophyta, Magnoliopsida, Poales, Poaceae. The record is from RefSeq and is a predicted model, not a curated record. The transcript has 4 exons.
CCCGGAGGAGAGGAGAAGCUGCUCACCGCCGCGGCCGCCCCGGUGGUUAGUAUAAGAGACGACUCUCUGUCCCCUUCCCCUCUUCUUCUUCUUCUUCCUCCUCCUCCGCCGCCGCCGCCUUCCUGUGCUUCGAUCCGAGGAGUUUGGGGAGCGAAGAGAGGCUCUGUCAAGAACCGGAGGAGAGAUUGUUCAAGAAUCAAGAUUGUGAGGGGGAAGAGAGAGGGAGGCUGACGAGGCGGGGCGGGACGGCGCGGGAUGGACGGCCACGGCGGCGGCGGCGGCGGCGGUAAGCUGACACGGACGCCGUCGUCGCUGCUCCGGUCGCCGACGGUGCGGACGCCGUCGUUCCAGGCGGUGGCGCUGGACGACCCGGAGCCCGACGACAAGAAGGCGCAGGCGAAGAGGCCCCGCCUGGCCCUUCUCCGCCCGGCGGCCCACCGCCUCCGGCCCGGUCCGGCCCACUCCUUUCUGCUCAUCGUCGUCGCGCUCCCUCUCCUCGCCCUCGCCGUGCUCCUCCUCCGCCGCGACGGGCACCACCUCGUCCUCCUGGCCGCCGCCGCGGGCGCCGCGCUCGCCGCGGCGGCCGUCGUCGCGCGCCUGCGCGGCCGCGUCCACCGCGCCCCCGGGGGGUUCCCCGCCUCCGUCCGGUGGUUCAUCGGCGAGGGCGACGACGACGAGCAGCAGCAGAUGAAGGGGAAGGGGAAGGCGGAUGGCCCCGCGGUGCGGGAGGGCGUGGAGUUCUACAGCAACGGCGACUGCUACGAGGGGGAGUUCCACCGGGGGCGGUGCAGCGGCAGCGGCGUCUACAACUUCUUCGGGAAGGGCAAGUACGAGGGCGACUGGGUUGACGGCAAGUACGACGGCUACGGCGUCGAGAGCUGGGCGCGCGGCAGCCGCUACCGCGGCCAGUACAGGCAAGGCCUCCGCCACGGCCACGGCGUCUACCGCUUCUACAGCGGCGACUGUUACGCCGGCGAGUGGGUCGGCGGCCAGAGCCAUGGCCUCGGCGCGCAGACCUGCUCUGACGGCAGCUCCUACGCCGGCGAGUUCAAGGGUGGCGUCAAGCACGGCCUCGGCUGCUACCAUUUCAGGAAUGGUGAUCGAUACUCGGGGGAGUACUUCGCGGACAGGAUCCACGGCUUCGGCGUGUACAGCUUCGCCAAUGGCCAUUGCUACGAGGGCUCCUGGCACGAGGGCAAGAAGCAGGGGCUAGGGAUGUACACGUUUCGCAACGGCGACAAGCGGUCCGGGGAAUGGGACUCUGGAGCUCUCAAGAAUCCAUUGCCCCUCCCCGAUCAGGCCGUGCAGCGUGCCGUGCUGGCGGCGCAAAGAGCGGCAGAUAGCGCCUUCCACCUCCCGAGGGUGGAUGAGCAGGUGAACAGGGCCGUCAUGGCCGCGAACAGGGCCGCCACGGCUGCCCGGGUCGCUGCAAUCAAGGCAGUGCAGAACAGAAUCGACGGCAAAUUCUGCCACACGGAAGCGUGAAAUGUACAAUAGAGUAGCGAAGGAUUGCAAUGGCUGAUCGCCCGAGGUUCGCGACCGGGGCGGCACAACCGCUCGCCCCGUGUCGGAGAGGUCAGUGAUUCAGUAUGAACGGCAGCCACCAAAGGGCUGAGCUGCUGCUUGUUUCCAUUCCACGGAUUGUGCCUGGUUUUGGUGUCCACUGAAUGAUGGUCAUGCUGUAAAGCUGUAGAUAGCUCCGUUUGUAUCAAUGGUGGGGGUGAUCUUUCGGCUCAAUGUGUAUCAAAUUAUCAAUGGCAGAGGGGUCAUCUUUCGAUGGAGCAAGGGGAUGGACACUUCUGUAUUUGACCCAAGAUCAACCUGACCUGCUAUUGUAGCUUUGGGAGCAUUGCAAGCUCCUCUUCUGCAACUCUGCCUCCUGCCAAAAGAUGGCCGCACUGAGAUGUUGCUGAAGAACUACUCCAGGUGCCCCAGUUUAAUCACCUUUCUCCCCAACUGCAACAAACCCUAUGAACAAUAGAUAGUAGUACUACUCCAUAGUUACAAUGAUUGCUCGCACAUAAGCCAAUAAAUCAUUUAGUGCUUGAUGGGAGCACCUUUCCUAAGGUGGUGUUUAGAUGGAGAAAAUUUUUAGUUACGUUAAAUGUUUGACCGGAUGUUGAAAGGGGUUUUCGGA